GUGUCAGCCGCCGCGGUAAUACGUAGGUGGCAAGCGUUGUCCGGAUUUACUGGGCGUAAAGGGAGCGUAGGUGGAUAUUUAAGUGGGAUGUGAAAUACUCGGGCUUAACCUGGGUGCUGCAUUCCAAACUGAAUAUCUAGAGUGCAGGAGAGGAAAGUAGAAUUCCUAGUGUAGCGGUGAAAUGCGUAGAGAUUAGGAAGAAUACCAGUGGCGAAGGCGACUUUCUGGACUGUAACUGACACUGAGGCUCGAAAGCGUGGGGAGCAAACAGGAUUAGAAACCCGAGUAGUCC
This 292-nucleotide ribosomal RNA is filed under the name uncultured Clostridia bacterium. RNAcentral's name for it is "partial 16S ribosomal RNA". It matches the Rfam family "Bacterial small subunit ribosomal RNA", at positions 505 to 796 of the family's 1533-position model. Lineage: Bacteria; Bacillati; Bacillota; Clostridia. The record is from RNAcentral.